GUCACUGAUGUCUGUAGCUGAG
RNAcentral lists this microRNA (22 nucleotides) under Homo sapiens (human). RNAcentral's name for it is "hsa-miR-4420". The record is from miRBase by way of RNAcentral. Lineage: Eukaryota; Metazoa; Chordata; Mammalia; Primates; Hominidae.